Molecule: long non-coding RNA, 1600 nt
Filed under: Monodelphis domestica (gray short-tailed opossum)
Lineage: Eukaryota; Metazoa; Chordata; Mammalia; Didelphimorphia; Didelphidae
Description: lncRNA (ENSMODG00000034828.2)
Source: RNAcentral
AUUCUAUUGGUGAAAAAUGCCAAGAGGGAGAGAGAAGUGUGACCUGUGGAUGGAGGAAUGCAGUGUGGGGUCUACCAGGAAGUCUAGGAGAAGUAAAGGGGUUUGGAAGACAUCUAGUUAACCCAGUCUUGCCCAUCAGUGAUCUACUCAUAUAAUCAAAAUUGUUUCUGUUUUUUUAAGACCCUUUGGGAGAAGAAUGGAGAGAAGAUCCAGGAUUUUUCCCAAAGAAAUAGCCCACUUCCCUCGAAAAGGUCUCCAAAACAACAGCUCGUCAGUGCUGUUACCGUGUCCUCCACAUCAGAUGUCCCCACUGUGGGAACAAAGCCAUUCGUCCAGGAUUGACCAGAUGCCCCACCUCGGCUACCAGGCCAGAGAUCCUGAAACAUCAACCCCUCCCUUCCUCAGGACUGCAGAGAGAGAAUCCUCGCCUCAGGUCUUCCAGCAUCUCCCCGAAGAGUCCCAGCUGCCCCAGGAUGACCACAAGACAAUGGCUGUCCUGUUGCCCUACCUUCACCACCGAGGUCUGGCCAAACCAUCGCCCCGCCACAAAUACCGCGCCUCGCCGUCAGUCAUGCCUUUCCCUCGGUCUAACUUCAGGGCCAAGAAAACAGUUCUGAAGUUAACGGCUGAUGAACAGUGUACGGUGUCUCCCCCUCGCUCCCCAAACCGCUGAGGCCAUCACACCCCUUGGCCAGAAGGCCGAAGUUCUCUUAUAUGAGGGGGACGAGUCCAGUCCGAGAUCUGCAUAUAGACCUAGCCUAGACUACCAGACAGGGCCGACGCCGGGGCCGCUGACCACUAUGCAGCAGACCAAAGCGUCCCUGCGGCACAGACGACACCACGUCAGGGCCUCCACUCUGCUGCUGGGGUUCACCAAGAAGGGAGACAGACCCGUUUCAGCCUCUUCCCAUGGUCUUAAAGAUCGGUCCAGGGCCACAGUUUUCAAGCCACCAGACCUGGCCAGAGUGUUGAAAGAAUCCCACUCGGAUCUCUGCCCCAAAGAAAUAAUAUCCCUGCUAAGAUACGCUAACUCCGAGUACAGCUUGACUCCAUCGUUAUCGGAUCAGGACCAGAGUCCCGAUCAGGAGGCGGAGGAAAUGCAAGCUCCCCCGGCCGAAGACGCGUCUCUGAUUGAAGUAGAAGCAACAUCUCUAAGGGGAGACUACCAGACUACCGCAGCAGCAGGUCUAGAUCACGGAGUGACACCUCCACCGAGUGUGAAGCUCCAAGACCUGAUUCACUGGAGCGCACCAACGCCUGCCUCUGAGGCUUUACCAGACCCAAAUGUCCUUUUCACACUUCAAGCAGAACAAGAAAAAAUGGCAGAGAGAAUGGAACACCAGGCGAUAAUCCCAGCAGGGCAAGACUACCUAGGGGAAGUGGAACAAGAAAUAGACCUGGACUAGGCCACAUUUUUCACAGGUCAGGAUCAUGGGCCAUUGGACCUCAGGAUAAGAUUUUAACCUGGUUUCGACUACUAAACUACAAUGCUGACGGGCAAGGAUCCUCAGAUACUACCUCCUAUGGCUUUAGACCCACAGAGCAAAAUACUUCCUGAGUCAACAGGUUACAUCUCUAAUAAAUCCUCAUCACUUGGCCA